GGUUAAGCGACUAAGCGUACACGGUGGAUGCCCUGGCAGUCAGAGGCGAUGAAGGACGUGCUAAUCUGCGAUAAGCGCCGGUAAGGUGAUAUGAACCGUUAUAACCGGCGAUUUCCGAAUGGGGAAACCCAGUGUGACUCGUCACACUAUCAUUAACUGAAUCCAUAGGUUAAUGAGGCGAACCGGGGGAACUGAAACAUCUAAGUACCCCGAGGAAAAGAAAUCAACCGAGAUUCCCCCAGUAGCGGCGAGCGAACGGGGAGGAGCCCAGAGCCUGAAUCAGCAUGUGUGUUAGUGGAAGCGUCUGGAAAGGCGCGCGAUACAGGGUGACAGCCCCGUACACAAAAGCGCAUGUGCUGUGAGCUCGAUGAGUAGGGCGGGACACGUGGUAUCCUGUCUGAAUAUGGGGGGACCAUCCUCCAAGGCUAAAUACUCCUGACUGACCGAUAGUGAACCAGUACCGUGAGGGAAAGGCGAAAAGAACCCCGGCGAGGGGAGUGAAAAAGAACCUGAAACCGUGUACGUACAAGCAGUGGGAGCACAGGUUUACCUGUGUGACUGCGUACCUUUUGUAUAAUGGGUCAGCGACUUAUAUUCUGUAGCAAGGUUAACCGAAUAGGGGAGCCGGAGGGAAACCGAGUCUUAAUUGGGCGUUAAGUUGCAGGGUAUAGACCCGAAACCCGGUGAUCUAGCCAUGGGCAGGUUGAAGGUUGGGUAACACUAACUGGAGGACCGAACCGACUAAUGUUGAAAAAUUAGCGGAUGACCUGUGGCUGGGGGUGAAAGGCCAAUCAAACCGGGAGAUAGCUGGUUCUCCCCGAAAGCUAUUUAGGUAGCGCCUCGUGAAUUCAUCUCCGGGGGUAGAGCACUGUUUCGGCUAGGGGGCCAUCCCGGCUUACCAACCCGAUGCAAACUGCGAAUACCGGAGAAUGUUAUCACGGGAGACACACGGCGGGUGCUAACGUCCGUCGUGAAGAGGGAAACAACCCAGACCGCCAGCUAAGGUCCCAAAGUCAUGGUUAAGUGGGAAACGAUGUGGGAAGGCCCAGACAGCCAGGAUGUUGGCUUAGAAGCAGCCAUCAUUUAAAGAAAGCGUAAUAGCUCACUGGUCGAGUCGGCCUGCGCGGAAGAUGUAACGGGGCUAAACCAUGCACCGAAGCUGCGGCAGCGAACGUAUCACCCAAGACAACUUUGCGGAGUUGACGAUUGACGGAGCGAAGCGACGUCAAAGCGUUCAUUAAAGUCGAGUUGGCUUAGGGAUACGUUCGUUGGGUAGGGGAGCGUUCUGUAAGCCUGUGAAGGUGGCCUGUGAGGGUUGCUGGAGGUAUCAGAAGUGCGAAUGCUGACAUAAGUAACGAUAAAGCGGGUGAAAAGCCCGCUCGCCGGAAGACCAAGGGUUCCUGUCCAACGUUAAUCGGGGCAGGGUGAGUCGACCCCUAAGGCGAGGCCGAAAGGCGUAGUCGAUGGGAAACGGGUUAAUAUUCCCGUACUUGGUGUUACUGCGAAGGGGGGACGGAGAAGGCUAUGUUGGCCGGGCGACGGUUGUCCCGGUUUAAGCGUGUAGGUGUGUGUUCCAGGUAAAUCCGGUUCACUUUAACACUGAGGCGUGACGACGAGGCACUACGGUGCUGAAGCAACAAAUGCCCUGCUUCCAGGAAAAGCCUCUAAGCAUCAGGUAACAUCAAAUCGUACCCCAAACCGACACAGGUGGUCAGGUAGAGAAUACCAAGGCGCUUGAGAGAACUCGGGUGAAGGAACUAGGCAAAAUGGUGCCGUAACUUCGGGAGAAGGCACGCUGACACGUAGGUGAAGUGAUUUACUCAUGGAGCUGAAGUCAGUCGAAGAUACCAGCUGGCUGCAACUGUUUAUUAAAAACACAGCACUGUGCAAACACGAAAGUGGACGUAUACGGUGUGACGCCUGCCCGGUGCCGGAAGGUUAAUUGAUGGGGUCAGCGCAAGCGAAGCUCCUGAUCGAAGCCCCGGUAAACGGCGGCCGUAACUAUAACGGUCCUAAGGUAGCGAAAUUCCUUGUCGGGUAAGUUCCGACCUGCACGAAUGGCGUAAUGAUGGCCAGGCUGUCUCCACCCGAGACUCAGUGAAAUUGAACUCGCUGUGAAGAUGCAGUGUACCCGCGGCAAGACGGAAAGACCCCGUGAACCUUUACUAUAGCUUGACACUGAACAUUGAGCCUUGAUGUGUAGGAUAGGUGGGAGGCUUUGAAGCGUGGACGCCAGUCUGCGUGGAGCCGACCUUGAAAUACCACCCUUUAAUGUUUGAUGUUCUAACGUGGACCCGUAAUCCGGGUUGCGGACAGUGUCUGGUGGGUAGUUUGACUGGGGCGGUCUCCUCCUAAAGAGUAACGGAGGAGCACGAAGGUUGGCUAAUCCUGGUCGGACAUCAGGAGGUUAGUGCAAUGGCAUAAGCCAGCUUGACUGCGAGCGUGACGGCGCGAGCAGGUGCGAAAGCAGGUCAUAGUGAUCCGGUGGUUCUGAAUGGAAGGGCCAUCGCUCAACGGAUAAAAGGUACUCCGGGGAUAACAGGCUGAUACCGCCCAAGAGUUCAUAUCGACGGCGGUGUUUGGCACCUCGAUGUCGGCUCAUCACAUCCUGGGGCUGAAGUAGGUCCCAAGGGUAUGGCUGUUCGCCAUUUAAAGUGGUACGCGAGCUGGGUUUAGAACGUCGUGAGACAGUUCGGUCCCUAUCUGCCGUGGGCGCUGGAGAACUGAGGGGGGCUGCUCCUAGUACGAGAGGACCGGAGUGGACGCAUCACUGGUGUUCGGGUUGUCAUGCCAAUGGCACUGCCCGGUAGCUAAAUGCGGAAGAGAUAAGUGCUGAAAGCAUCUAAGCACGAAACUUGCCCCGAGAUGAGUUCUCCCUGAGACUUUAGGUCUCCUGAAGGAACGUUGAAGACGACGACGUUGAUAGGCCGGGUGUGUAAGCGCAGCGAUGCGUUGAGCUAACCGGUACUAAUGAACCGUGAGGCUUAACCUU
RNAcentral lists this ribosomal RNA (2992 nucleotides) under Salmonella enterica subsp. enterica. RNAcentral's name for it is "23S ribosomal RNA". It matches the Rfam family "Bacterial large subunit ribosomal RNA". Lineage: Bacteria; Pseudomonadati; Pseudomonadota; Gammaproteobacteria; Enterobacterales; Enterobacteriaceae. The record is from RNAcentral.